Long non-coding RNA from Oryctolagus cuniculus (rabbit), 913 nucleotides. The record is from Ensembl. Lineage: Eukaryota; Metazoa; Chordata; Mammalia; Lagomorpha; Leporidae.
ACUCGAGUUUUCAUCUCACUGAAAAUUCAAAAUCAAAAUCAAAACCAGCUGAGAUAGUUACUCGGGUGCCUUCCUUCAGCUUAUUCAAAAGAACACAGAAUGAACGGCUUUAAGACAUGUCAUGGAAAAUGUUAAGAGAAGACGGUCUCUUCUUCUGUGUUGGUGCCUGUUAAUUUCACACCUUGAAGAGAGUCCUCAUAUCAACAAUGAAGCGUCUAUUUUUAAGACACUGAAUUAAAGAUUAUUUAUGAAGAGGUAACAACAACAAAAAAGUCAAAACGGAGUGUCACUCUGGCAUCGACAUGGUGUUCCUGAUUGCUCUUGACUAGGAUUUUUAAAGGCUUAAUGUGGUUCCUGCACAACCUUUAUAAGAAUGCGGCAGCACUGCUCCAAGAAAGUACUCGGGGGGCAAGAACGGAUGGAGACAGCAACCCCAGAGGAGUGGGACAUGGACAAUGGCGAGGUAGCAGAGUGCAGCUCUGUCCAGAGAAAGCUGUGUCCACCCACCACCUGCACAGGGGAUGCCAUGUUGCUGGACACAGAGACCCAUGGAACCCGCCAGAGCAGCAAAAUGACAAAGAGCCCUCCUGUCCUGCUGAGCGGUGACCAGUUACCCAGGAAGAGCCUUCCUCCCAGAGCUGCUGGGCUUGGAAGGGGCGACUCUCAAAUCACGCUCCUCCCCCUGCCCUGCCCCACCUGCGUCUCAGAGGGCCACGCUGUUGCCCCAUCCCACCGCCCUUGCCAUCCAUUGAGCCACUCAAGGAUUCCAUUAUGCAUUCGAAUGAUAUAUCUCAAACUGUACCUUCAAGUUUGGAAGACUAUGAGACUGGAUAUGCGUGUGAUUCGUUACAGUCGUCCACAGAGGGUAUUUUCUUUGUUCCAAAGUUCUGCCAGCUCACAACAUCAGAAGUGA